RNAcentral lists this ribosomal RNA (1479 nucleotides) under uncultured prokaryote. RNAcentral's name for it is "partial 16S ribosomal RNA". It matches the Rfam family "Bacterial small subunit ribosomal RNA". The record is from RNAcentral.
GAGUUUGAUCCUGGCUCAGAACGAACGCUCGGCUGGCAUGCUUAACACAUGCAAGUCGAACGCGAAAGUCUCUUCGGAGGCGAGUAGAGUGGCGCACGGGUGAGUAACACGUAGAUCAUCUACCCUUGAGACUGGGAUAACUUCUCGAAAGAGAAGCUAAUACCGGAUAAAAGCUUUUGUUGAGUGGCGAGAGUUUGAAAGUUCCGUCGCUGAGGGAUGAGUCUGCGUACCAUUAGCUAGUUGGUGGGGUAAUGGCCCACCAAGGCGACGAUGGUUAGCGGGUCUGAGAGGAUGAUCAGCAACACUGGGACUGAGACACGGUCCAGACUCCUACGGGAGGCAGCAGUGGGGAAUCUUGCGCAAUGGACGCAAGUCUGACGCAGCAAUACCGCGUGAGUGAAGAAGGCCUUAGGGUCGUAAAGCUCUUUAUCUCUACGAAGAUGAUGACGGUAGUAGAGGAAUAAGCACCGGCUAACUACGUGCCAGCAGCCGCGGUAAUACGUAGGGUGCGAGCGUUGUUCGGAAUCACUGGGCGUAAAGGGUGUGUAGGCGGACUGUUAAGCAUGAGGUGAAAGCCCGGGGCUCAACCCCGGAACUGCUUUUAGAACUGCCAUUCUAGAGAGGGUCAGAGGCAAGUGGAAUUCCUGGUGUAGAGGUGAAAUUCGUAGAUAUCAGGAGGAACACCGGUGGCGAAGGCGGCUUGCUGGGGCCAAUCUGACGCUGAGGCGCGAAAGCGUGGGGAGCAAACAGGAUUAGAUACCCUGGUAGUCCACGCUGUAAACGAUGAGUACCAGCUGUGUUUGAGGAAUCGAUCCCUCGAGUGGCGCAGCUAACGCGAUGAGUACUCCGCCUGGGAACUACGGUCGCAAGACUAAAACUCAAAGGAAUUGACGGGGACCCGCACAAGCGGUGGAGCAUGUGGUUUAAUUCGACGCAACGCGAAGAACCUUACCUGGGUUUGACAUCCUCGGACCGUCCUAGAGAUAGGAUUUCCUCUUCGGAGGCCGAGUGACAGGUGCUGCAUGGCUGUCGUCAGCUCGUGUCGUGAGAUGUUGGGUUAAGUCCCGCAACGAGCGCAACCCUUUGUCCUUAGUUGCCAGCACGUAAUGGUGGGAACUCUAAGGAGACUGCCGGUGUUAAGCCGGAGGAAGGUGGGGAUGACGUCAAGUCCUCAUGGCCUUUAUAUCCAGGGCUACACACGUGCUACAAUGGCACCUACAAAGAGCAGCAAGACCGCGAGGUUUAGCGAAUCUCAAAAAAGGUGUCUCAGUUCGGAUUACAGUCUGCAACUCGACUGUAUGAAGUUGGAAUCGCUAGUAAUCGUAGAUCAGCGUGCUACGGUGAAUACGUUCCCGGGCCUUGUACACACCGCCCGUCACACCAUGGGAGUUGACAUUGGCAGAAUACAUUGAGCUAACCUUCGGGAGGCGAGACGUCCCAAGCUCUUAUUGAUCACUAGGGUGAAGUCGUAACAAGGUA